UGGGCAACCUGCCCCCUCUCUCUGGGAUAACCCCGGGAAACCGGAGCUAAUACCGGAUACUCCGGCUGGAUCGCAUGGUCCGGCCGGGAAAGGUCCGCCGGAGAGGGAUGGGCCCGCGGCCUAUCAGCUUGUUGGUGGGGUCAUGGCUCACCAAGGCGACGACGGGUAGCUGGUCUGAGAGGACAACCAGCCACACUGGAACUGAGACACGGCCCAGACUCCUACGGGAGCA
Molecule: ribosomal RNA, 232 nt
Filed under: uncultured bacterium
Lineage: Bacteria
Description: partial 16S ribosomal RNA
Rfam family: Bacterial small subunit ribosomal RNA
Source: RNAcentral